GAUGAACGCUGGCGGCGUGCCUAAUACAUGCAAGUCGAGCGAACAGACGAGGAGCUUGCUCCUCUGACGUUAGCGGCGGACGGGCGAGUAACACGUGGAUAACCUACCUAUAAGACUGGGAUAACUUCGGGAAACCGGAGCUAAUACCGGAUAAUAUAUUGAACCGCAUGGUUCAAUAGUGAAAGACGGUUUUGCUGUCACUUAUAGAUGGAUCCGCGCCGCAUUAGCUAGUUGGUAAGGUAACGGCCUACCAAGGCAACGAUGCGUAGCCGACCUGAGAGGGUGAUCGGCCACACUGGAACUGAGACACGGUCCAGACUCCUACGGGAGGCAGCAGUAGGGAAUCUUCCGCAAUGGGCGAAAGCCUGACGGAGCAACGCCGCGUGAGUGAUGAAGGUCUUCGGAUCGUAAAACUCUGUUAUUAGGGAAGAACAAAUGUGUAAGUAACUAUGCACGUCUUGACGGUACCUAAUCAGAAAGCCACGGCUAACUACGUG
Molecule: ribosomal RNA, 497 nt
Filed under: uncultured bacterium
Lineage: Bacteria
Description: partial 16S ribosomal RNA
Rfam family: Bacterial small subunit ribosomal RNA
Source: RNAcentral